UUACGGGAGGCAGCAGUGGGGAAUAUUGCGCAAUGGGGGAAACCCUGACGCAGCAACGCCGCGUGGAGGAUGAAGGCCUUCGGGUUGUAAACUCCUGUCUUCAGGGACGAAACAUGACGGUACCUGAGGAGGAAGCCACGGCUAACUACGUGCCAGCAGCCGCGGUAAUACGUAGGUGGCGAGCGUUGUCCGGAAUUACUGGGCGUAAAGGGUGCGUAGGCGGGUUUUUAAGUCAGAUGUGAAAUUCCGGGGCUUAACUUCGGAACUGCAUUUGAAACUGGAGGCCUGGAGUGCAGGAGAGGAAAGCGGAAUUCCUAGUGUAGCGGUGAAAUGCGUAGAUAUUAGGAAGAACACCAGUGGCGAAGGCGGCUUUCUGGACUGUAACUGACGCUGAGGCACGAAAGCGUGGGGAGCAAACAGGAUUAGAUACCCGGGUAGUCCA
This 442-nucleotide ribosomal RNA is filed under the name uncultured bacterium. RNAcentral's name for it is "bacterial SSU rRNA". It matches the Rfam family "Bacterial small subunit ribosomal RNA", at positions 339 to 797 of the family's 1533-position model. The record is from RNAcentral.